RNAcentral lists this ribosomal RNA (468 nucleotides) under uncultured bacterium. Its description in RNAcentral is "partial 16S ribosomal RNA". It matches the Rfam family "Bacterial small subunit ribosomal RNA", at positions 28 to 507 of the family's 1533-position model. The record is from RNAcentral.
GACGAACGCUGGCGGCGUGCUUAACACAUGCAAGUCGAACGGAAAGGCCCUGCUUUUGUGGGGUGCUCGAGUGGCGAACGGGUGAGUAACACGUGAGUAACCUGCCCUUGACUGUGGGAUAACUUCAGGAAACUGGGGCUAAUACCGGAUAGGAGCUCCUGCUGCAUGGUGGGGGUUGGAAAGUUUCGGCGGUUGGGGAUGGACUCGCGGCUUAUCAGCCUGUUGGUGGGGUAGUGGCUUACCAAGGCUUUGACGGGUAGCCGGCCUGAGAGGGUGACCGGCCACAUUGGGACUGAGAUACGGCCCAGACUCCUACGGGAGGCAGCAGUGGGGAAUAUUGCACAAUGGGCGGAAGCCUGAUGCAGCAACGCCGCGUGCGGGAUGACGGCCUUCGGGUUGUAAACCGCUUUCGCCUGUGACGAAGCGUGAGUGACGGUAAUGGGUAAAGAAGCACCGGCUAACUACGUG